Molecule: ribosomal RNA, 557 nt
Filed under: uncultured bacterium
Lineage: Bacteria
Description: bacterial SSU rRNA
Rfam family: Bacterial small subunit ribosomal RNA
Source: RNAcentral
ACGGGUGAGUAACGCGUGGGAACGUGCCUUCUGGUUCGGAAUAACCCUGGGAAACUAGGGCUAAUACCGGAUACGCCCUUUUGGGGAAAGGUUUACUGCCGGAAGAUCGGCCCGCGUCUGAUUAGCUAGUUGGUGGGGUAACGGCCUACCAAGGCGACGAUCAGUAGCUGGUCUGAGAGGAUGAUCAGCCACACUGGGACUGAGACACGGCCCAGACUCCUACGGGAGGCAGCAGUGGGGAAUAUUGGACAAUGGGCGCAAGCCUGAUCCAGCCAUGCCGCGUGAGUGAUGAAGGCCUUAGGGUUGUAAAGCUCUUUUAUCCGGGACGAUAAUGACGGUACCGGAGGAAUAAGCCCCGGCUAACUUCGUGCCAGCAGCCGCGGUAAUACGAAGGGGGCUAGCGUUGCUCGGAAUCACUGGGCGUAAAGGGCGCGUAGGCGGCGUUUUAAGUCGGGGGUGAAAGCCUGUGGCUCAACCACAGAAUGGCCUUCGAUACUGGGACGCUUGAGUAUGGUAGAGGUUGGUGGAACUGCGAGUGUAGAGGUGAAAUUCGUAGA